Molecule: non-coding RNA, 26 nt
Filed under: Rattus norvegicus (Norway rat)
Lineage: Eukaryota; Metazoa; Chordata; Mammalia; Rodentia; Muridae
Source: RNAcentral
CUGCUAACCUUAACACUUGUAUCGGU